GCGGGCAUAACUCAGUUGGUAGAGUCGCAGCCUUCCAAGCUGUCGGUCCUCGGUUCAAAUCCGAGUGCUCGCUCCA
Molecule: transfer RNA, 76 nt
Filed under: Burkholderia sp. Bp9010
Lineage: Bacteria; Pseudomonadati; Pseudomonadota; Betaproteobacteria; Burkholderiales; Burkholderiaceae
Also listed under: 1 other name
Description: tRNA-Gly
Rfam family: tRNA
About the family: Transfer RNA (tRNA) molecules are approximately 80 nucleotides in length. Their secondary structure includes four short double-helical elements and three loops (D, anti-codon, and T loops).
Source: RNAcentral